RNAcentral lists this ribosomal RNA (1535 nucleotides) under uncultured fungus. Its description in RNAcentral is "eukaryotic LSU rRNA". The stretch from base 883 to 1535 matches the Rfam family "Eukaryotic large subunit ribosomal RNA", at positions 1 to 667 of the family's 3401-position model. The record is from RNAcentral. Lineage: Eukaryota; Fungi.
CUUGGUCAUUUAGAGGAAGUAAAAGUCGUAACAAGGUUCAACAUCGAGUACGGUUUUCGAUGUUUACGCGUUUGUAAGCAAAACUACAACAAGUAAGCAUUAUCACCUUCGAAGCCUUGAAUUUCAGUCAAUCUUAAGAAUUGGCAACAUCAGUCUGUUGCUAGGCUUAACUUUAAAUUGUUUAACUAGCAGUCGCAAAUGUGAUUCACAGGUCAAACACUGGUGGUUCGCUUCUCAAUUACAAACUCGUCUUUGUGGAAUGCUUGUUUUGGGACGUAUUGUUAUUGAGGCUCGUCAAAAGUGAAUUUAGAUAUGAUCGGUCAAUCUUUGUUAAGAAGUUUGAUUAAACGUUCCGUAGGUGAACCUGCGGAAGGAUCAUUAAUGAGUUAGGGUCCUCCAGGCCCGACCUCCAACCCUCUGUUUAACUACCAUGUUGCUUUGGCGGGCCCGUCUUUAACCGGACCGUUGGGGGUUUUAAAACCUCUGGUCAGUGCCCGUCAGUAGCCUACCACAAAUACUUUUUAACCAUGUUAUAUCUGAAAAAUAGUUAAAUAAACUAAAACUUUCAACAACGGAUCUCUUGGUUCUGGCAUCGAUGAAGAACGCAGCGAAAUGCGAUAAGUAAUGCGAAUUGCAGAAUUCAGUGAGUCAUCGAAUCUUUGAACGCACAUUGCGCCCUUUAGUAUUCUGAAGGGCAUGCCUGUUCGAGCGUCAUUAUCACUAAUCAAGCCUGGCUUGCUGUUGGACCUCUUGUCGUUAAAACCGACGGGCCCUAAAGAUAAUGACGGCGUUAUUUGGACCCUAGAUGCAACGAGCUUUCAUUAGCACGCGUUUAGUCGGGACCUUUUAACCCGGUCUUUUUUUAAACCAAUUUUCUAAGGUUGACCUCGGAUCAGGUAGGAAUACCCGCUGAACUUAAGCAUAUCAAUAAGCGGAGGAAAAGAAACCAACAGGGAUUACCUCAGUAACGGCGAGUGAAGCGGUAAUAGCUCAAAUUUGAAAUCUGGCUCUUUUAGGGUCCGAGUUGUAAUUUGUAGAGGAUGUUUCGGACACGGCUACGGUUUAAAUUUCUUGGAACAGAAUGUCAUAGAGGGUGAGAGUCCCGUCUUGAACCGAUUGCUUCGUCCAUGUGAAACUCCUUCGACGAGUCGAGUUGUUUGGGAAUGCAGCUCAAAAUGGGUGGUAAAUUUCAUCUAAAGCUAAAUAUUGGCCAGAGACCGAUAGCGCACAAGUAGAGUGAUCGAAAGAUGAAAAGCACUUUGAAAAGAGAGUUAAACAGUAUGUGAAAUUGUUGAAAGGGAAGCGCUUGUAAUCAGACUUGAGCUUAACAGUUCCCCCUUCGUUCUCGUUGGGUUAUUCUGUUUUGUCCAGGCCAACAUCAGUUCAGGUGGUUGGUUAAAGACUUUGGGAAUGUAUCUACCCUCCGGGGUCGACUUAUAGCCUAGAGUGUCAUACAGCCUACUUGGACUGAGGAACGCGCUUCGGCUCGGAUGUUGGCGUAAUGGUUAUAAGCGACCCGUCUUGAAACACGGACC